AGUGAACGCUGGCGGUAGGCCUAACACAUGCAAGUCGAACGGCGGCACAGUAAGAGCUUGCUCUUACGGGUGGCGAGUGGCGGACGGGUGAGGAAUACAUCGGAAUCUACUUUUUCGUGGGGGAUAACGUAGGGAAACUUACGCUAAUACCGCAUACGACCUACGGGUGAAAGCAGGGGAUCUUCGGACCUUGCGCGAUUGAAUGAGCCGAUGUCGGAUUAGCUAGUUGGCGGGGUAAAGGCCCACCAAGGCGACGAUCCGUAGCUGGUCUGAGAGGAUGAUCAGCCUCACUGGAACUGAGACACGGUCCAGACUCCUACGGGAGGCAGCAGUGGGGAAUAUUGGACAAUGGGCGCAAGCCUGAUCCAGCCAUACCGCGUGGGUGAAGAAGGCCUUCGGGUUGUAAAGCCCUUUUGUUGGGAAAGAAAAGCAGCAGGUUAAUACCCCGCUGUUCUGACGGUACCCAAAGAAUAAGCACCGGCUAACUUCGUG
This 492-nucleotide ribosomal RNA is filed under the name uncultured bacterium. Its description in RNAcentral is "partial 16S ribosomal RNA". It matches the Rfam family "Bacterial small subunit ribosomal RNA", at positions 29 to 507 of the family's 1533-position model. The record is from RNAcentral.